GACGAACCGUGCGAACGUUGUUCGGAUUCACUGGGCUUAAAGGGCGCGUAGGCGGCUUGCUAAGUCAGGGGUGAAAUCUUUCGGCUCAACCGGAAAAGUGCUUCUGAUACUGGCGGGCUGGAGGAGGGUAGGGGCAGGUGGAACUUCCGGUGGAGCGGUGAAAUGCGUAGAUAUCGGAAGGAACGCCGGUGGCGAAAGCGACCUGCUGGACCCUCCCUGACGCUGAGGCGCGAAAGCCAGGGGAGCGAACGGG
RNAcentral lists this ribosomal RNA (253 nucleotides) under uncultured bacterium. RNAcentral describes it as "partial 16S ribosomal RNA". It matches the Rfam family "Bacterial small subunit ribosomal RNA", at positions 524 to 776 of the family's 1533-position model. The record is from RNAcentral.